Long non-coding RNA from Mus musculus (house mouse), 565 nucleotides. RefSeq annotates it as predicted gene, 42257. NCBI's taxonomy places the organism in Eukaryota, Metazoa, Chordata, Mammalia, Rodentia, Muridae. The record is from RefSeq and is a predicted model, not a curated record. The transcript has 4 exons.
GGUAAACAGCGACUGGCCUAACUUGUGACCAAUGUGUUGUCAGGCUUUAUAGUCCCUGAAAUCCCAUGCUUCUGGAGCUACAUGUGGAAUUGGUAGUCUUGGUACCAGAAACUUUAUGAAACUGCAAGUUUAGAUGGUUAUCCCUGGUGACAGGAGACUUCCAGAGAAAAGAGUUCACAGGCUUGUCCAUGAUGUCCACAAGAAAGGAGCUCAGGAAUCCUGAGGAACAGGAGGAAGAGGGCUUGUUGGGCCAGAGGAGAUGGAGGACACCAGAACAAAAGGGCCUUCUGAAUCUACUAAAGAAGACACAGUUGAGCUCACAGACUCCAAGACAGAAAGACUCAUGUGGGUCCUCAGUAGGUACUGUUCAUUUAUUAUGGCUUUUAGCUUGGUGUUUUCUUCAACUUUUAAUGUCUUUUUUCAGUUUUUACCUUUUUUAUUGUAUGGGUCAUGCCCAUUUGCUAGGAUGAUUUGUACAAAUUUUUAAGAAAUCUUAUGAUCUUAUUUCCCCACAUCUGCUUCACACAUACUGUUUAUCUGUCUUCUAAAAUGCUGUUUCUGUUCU